GCGAGAGUGGCGAAGCUGGCAGACGCGCUGGACUUAGGAUCCAGUGGGCGAAAGCCCUUGGGGGUUCGACUCCCCCCUCUCGCACCA
This 87-nucleotide transfer RNA is filed under the name Candidatus Rokuibacteriota bacterium. RNAcentral describes it as "Candidatus Rokubacteria bacterium (sediment metagenome) tRNA-Leu". It matches the Rfam family "tRNA". From Rfam's summary of the family: Transfer RNA (tRNA) molecules are approximately 80 nucleotides in length. Their secondary structure includes four short double-helical elements and three loops (D, anti-codon, and T loops). The record is from RNAcentral. Lineage: Bacteria; Candidatus Rokuibacteriota.